CUCUUGGGUGAGGGCUCUUGUCUACCAACUUACUAAAACUGACCUGAAAGAAUUGAUAAGUAUCUUCAUUACUAUACAUAGAAAAUAAAGUUGUUUUGUUACCAUCUCCUCAGAAGAACCAGGCAUCCCCAACUUUUGGGGCUCUUUGCCUGCAGCAACCUCUUCUUUUCCUCACAUCUGGAUUAGUCUGUCCUGCCUUAGUUGGCAUAAUUAUUCUUCAUUUGCAGGACUCAGCUCUACUUUUUCUCCUUUUCCUUCCCUUCCCAGAAACGUCUGGACUCUUUGUUUUUGCAAAGCUGAUGCCACAGUUUAAAUAGUGCUAGUACCUGACAGAGCUCUUCUCUCACCUGGGACACUUCAUCCUCCAGGGACAAAGGAUUACACCACGGAGAAGGGAAUGUGAGUCCCUGACCUGCGGCGCUGAGUGACAAACUGCCACGAGGUGUUUUCUGUCCUGCCCCAUCCUCCAAGGCAGCUCACAGGCACAGGCACUGGAGUUUGAGAGGCUCAGAAACAGCUGCACUGGGGCUGUACCAGGACAAGAUUACUAAUUCUCAGCCACAAUCUGUGAUGGAAAUUGUGAAGCAAUCUACAUGAGUGAAUUCAGUUUUUCUGAUGUCUUGAGUUGUAAGGAACUGCACAGAUUUGCCUUGGCCAGGAAGGAAGAACUUCACUCCUAGUGGACUCAGCUGUGAUGAAAGGCACUGCAUUUUGCUCUAGUGCAGAAAGCAAAACAGGAGCAAGGGGACAGGGCUGCAGUCUUACUUCUCUGAAAGAUGAUUCCUUGCAGUGAUGCUGUCACAGGGGGCUGCACAGUGUGACUUUGGAUCUGUGCUACCUAAGAAAAAGCCCCCUCUGGUGUGGAUGCUGUCUCUGUGAAGGUCCCCGGCCUGCAUACUGCACAAACAUUGUGGGGAGCUCACCACAAAGAUGAAAACUUCGUAGAGAAUGGCUUUACCCGUCCUCACUGUCACCAGCCUCCCUGGGAACAGCCUAGCCUGUGGCCAACAGGGAAAAAGUAGUUAAGGACAACAUGGUACCACCCCCCCCUUACACUGUCUUGGAUUAUCAGAUAUUUAUCAUCCUCUGCUUUCUAAAUGAUCCUUAAUGUUGGACCUCUUGGAUUAUGAGAGGAACCUCAAAGAGACUGAGAAUAAUGUGAAAGUGGUGAGGAGAAAAUGAAAAGAAAGGCAAGCACCGUGACAGAGAAGAGAUCCAAUUUUCCUAAGUGUCUAAGGGACUUAUGAGAUCAAAUCUCUUGUAGGCUGAAGUCACUGGGGGUGAUUCUCAUAAUUUACCCAAUUUAGCAGGAAAAAAAUAAAAACAGGAUAUAAGCUUGGCAAUGAUUAUGCUGUAGGCAAAACAACCUUUACUUGCAAGGUCUCUUGCUAGACUGUCUGUAUCCUAACUGGGAUGGUGGGUCCCUGGGGAAUUCCCCCUCGUACACAUCCUUUCUCGGCAGUCAGAGAGCAACUAAUGUGCAAGAAUGCCUGGAAGGAGAAUCUCGUCACAGUUUUUGAGUGACAGCUUGUAAACUGUACAGUCUCCAGUAGAAAGCCUGUCUGCUGGUAUUUCAGUUCCCUGAUUGGGAUUCUGUUUCCCCUGCAGUCUGGCCUCUCCUUGUCUGUUUGUUUUGUUAUCGUUUGUAUGGAGAUCAUCAGAUGCAAGUACAUUUGACAUAUGGAGAUAACAGUCAGGAAAGGAAACAGCAUAUGGCAGACAAUUCAUAUCCAUCAAGAUCUGUCAUAAAACCAUUUUUAGCAAUAGAAAAAGAAGGGAGGAAAAAGACAGCAGGUUUGAAUUUAAAACAACCACAGUAUUCGAACAAACAGGAGGGCCUAGGGCUUGCUUUGCUGAAUGACACCACCAGUUCACCGAGGCCAGCAGCAGUUGGUACCCAGUGCUUCAACGGUGGGUUAAAAUCUUCUGCAGUGCAUUUGCCAAUUACUUUUUGACCAUCACAGCUGAUUAACGACUGGCCUCAAAGCCUUGACUGAAGCUAAAUGUAUUGACUGCCUAGCCUGUUGAAUUGCUACCUUGGGGUACUUCUGAAGUAAGAUGUCCUGUUCAUCUCAGGGUUGUAGGGUCAAGGGAGAAAGGCAACAUGGCAUGUGUGCUAAAGGGUGAGCAGACCUGGGGACCCCAGCAUGAUGUGCAUGGUCCGGCUCUCCUUGUGUAUCUCAUCUGCCUUGUGGCAACAUCACAUAACAAGCUGGGCAGAUGAAAUAGUCCAAGUCCUUCCCAGCAGGACACUAACAUUGCCUGCUGGAAGGACAGGUAACGUUCGUGUGUCGUAGUCUGAAGUCAAUUCAUGUGCAAGGGUGCUUGGCUAUGCAGCACUGGUGUAGCACCGAUAACCUAUGUUAAGGUGUGGAUGUAUUCUAGAAACAUGUCGUUCGAUUUCUUUAUCUAAAAAAAUAAAAAUAAAUAAAUAAA
Molecule: long non-coding RNA, 2436 nt
Organism: Anas platyrhynchos (mallard)
Lineage: Eukaryota; Metazoa; Chordata; Aves; Anseriformes; Anatidae
Source: RefSeq, a predicted model, not a curated record